This 5828-nucleotide long non-coding RNA is filed under the name Nicotiana tabacum (common tobacco). RNAcentral's name for it is "long non-coding RNA (NTAB_LNC014648)". The record is from RNAcentral. Lineage: Eukaryota; Viridiplantae; Streptophyta; Magnoliopsida; Solanales; Solanaceae.
CCUCUUAUACGUCCUUCUCCUUCUAAUUUCUUUUUCUAUAAUAUUUUAAUUGGCAUAAGAUAUUAGUUGUUUCUUUGUAUUCCAACUUGCUGGAUUUAUUAUUUAAUUUUGCUGAUUCUUGUAUCCUCUAAAUAAAUUGAGAUUGACUUGUUUAAUCCUGGGGAAACAUUUCACAUUGCUAACAUAGUUUCUUAGAACAGUGUCUCUCAUGACUCAAGCCAAUUCGUGUAUCUGCUUACAAAUAAUAAUAUUGGAGUAUUAUCAUCGUUAUUUUUCAAUGUCAUUUCCCUACUUAAAUAUCAAAGAAGAAAAGGUAAGAAGAGGUGCUUAUGAUUUAUCCGAACAGCUUAACGACCAUACAGUGCAGAUAUUAUAUUUUGUCAUUGCAAAGCAAGUUAUUGUAGCUAUCUAGGUGUUUUACUUACAUAAUUACAUAAUCUUCGACAGAAUUGAAAUUCAAUUUAUGCUUUUGAUUGUAGCUACCCAUGUUUUUCUGGCAAAUAAAGCCUUAAACCAUUGUGAUCUGUCGUGGUAGUAUUCAAUGUUCAGACUGUGGAGUACAAGAAUAUUAGUUCUUCCUAUUUUUCUUGUUCUUGAUCUUUCCCUCUGAUUUCCCCAGAUUUUGUUUCAUUCUAUAUAACAUGUAUUGUGUGCUGUAUGAUGCAAGAACUUGAGCACUUUCUCCGGUCCUGAUCAUUUACAUCAGAUGAUGGUUUAGGCACAACUAUUGCAGAGUGUUCCAUUGCUUGAGUUUCUGUUUGUAAUUACUACUUAAACUGCACAAUCACUUUACUAACAUAACUUUAUAACAGUCCUUUUCGGUACUGAUGUAUUCAAGACAUUGGCGUGCUAUACUUAGCGGUAUCAAAUGGGCAGGUUGGAUUGUUUUCGGACGGGUCAAAAUGGAUUGAGUCGGCAAAUAGACGGGUCAAUGGCACGCCCAAAAGUUACUUGGGCUGAGUCAAGAUGAGCUAAAAUUUGGGUCAUAGACCAACCCGCCCAACUCUUACCAAACUUUAACUAAUACUAUGUGUUAUUUUCUUAUGAAUUGUAUAUUAUUAAAUAAUUUUUUUUCCUUUUGUUAUGGUCAUAUAUAUAUAUAUAACAUAUCAAACAAAAAAGAACUAUUUUAAAGAUAUUUUGGCAAAGUUACCGAAGGUUCAAUUUGAUCUAAAAAACAACCCAACUUUAAAUGAAUUGAGAUGGGCUGAGUUCAAUAAAUGAGUGGAUUAAUAACUAGACCAACUUUUGGUGGGUCAUUUGACAGCCAUAGCCUAUCCGUUUAGUGCAGAUGCAUCCUUUUUGGAGGCACUUCUCUCAAAUCACUCGGGGAACUUAAACUAAAAAUAACCAAUGAAUGUAUAAUAUACGCAUAAUUUAUGUGUUACAUGUAUAUAAUUAUGUAUAAUCUAUGUAUAUAGUUAGGGGCGGCCCUUUCAUAAAGCAAGUAAAUCAAUCGCUUUAGGCCACAUAUUUGUAGGGGUUCCACUUUUUGUUACACCUAAUAGACUAUGUAUAAGUUUAAAAAAGAGUUCGGUAAAGUGAAAAAGUUUGAUUUCUUUCUUUAACAAAUAUAGAAAAGAAGGAUUUGCGACUACUAUGAUUUCUACCAAGGAAAUUGCACUUGAAAUGAAUAUCAAACCCGAAUUUCGUAAGAAACGUGUGAUAUAUAUGAAACAACAAUUUGAUGCGAAUGUUGAUAAUAAAAAUCUCAAAAUCUUUCGAAGAGUCCUUUAGAGUUGAUUACUUUUAUACAUAUUAGACAAAGCUAUUUUUUCACUUCAAAAUGGAUUUGAAUAAUUCGAAGCAUAUGAAAAUAUUUUUGGUUUUUUAUUUGACAGUAAAAAUUAAGAUCACUAGAUGUUGGAAAUUUAAAAAAAUAUUACCUUAAUCUUGAAUGUUCCUUAAAGCAUAAUAAUCAAUUCGAUAUUAAUGGUUUAGAUUUAUUUUCUGAAUUAAAAAUAUUAAGAAAAAUAGUACAAUUAGAAGAUAAUAGUUUAAUUGAUACACUUAAUCAAAUAAAAAGAUUUAAUUCUUUUCCAAAUGCCUAAAUUGUUUAUGAAAUAAUGUUCAUAACUCUUGUUACCGUUGCUUCAGCGGAAAGAAAAUUUCAAAAUUAAAAUUGAUAAAAUCUUACCUAAGAAAAAUAAUGUCACAAGAAAAGUUAAAUGGAUUAGCUAUAUUGUCAAUUGAGAAAUACUUAUUACGAGUUACUGAUUAUAAGACAAUUAUUAAUAACUUUGUAUCGAAGAAAAGCUAAAGAAAAAUAAACUUCAUAUAAAUAACAAAAAAAUUAAAAAGUUAAGACCUCUCAUAAAGUUUGACUUUAGGCCACAAAAUUCGUCAGACCGUCUUUAUAUAUAGCUAGAAAAGUAAACAAUUAAUACAGCCGAUUAUUUGUGUAAAAGUUCCAUUAUAUUUGUGGUAGGGAUCGAGUUGUUGUGGCAAAGGAUGAGCUGCACUGAAUACUGUUGAAUGAGGUUGGUCAUAUUCACACUUUCAAUGUUAGGUGGUCGUUUGUCUUUAGUUAAAUUUCCUGCAGUCAUUUUAUAGAUCUAGUUUUUUUUUGUGUCUCAUAUAAUUUAUACUAGUUGUAUGCGGUUCCUUUUUGUCUCACGAAUUUGUGGAUUUCAAUCUUAUACUUCUGGGUACAUAGAAAUCUGAGUCCACAAAACUGUAAGACAAAAAAGUUGUCUCAUACAACUAGUGUCAGUUGUAUUGAGACACAAAAUAAAAUUUUACUAAUGAUCGAUGAUUGCUCAUUGCAGAUACAGUUUUAUACAUAUGUUGUUAGUCAUUUAUGUUGUCUGAUGCAAUACAAGUAUUUAACUAGUGGAAUAGGAAAAGGGCUUCAAUAGGAUUGAGUUCCCAAUAAUGCACAGUAAAGGGUAUUGUAGCAAAAACAGACCUUUUUAUCAUUGCGAUUAGAGCCAUAGCACCACAUUAACUUAUUUUCGUAUGAAUGUAAAAAUUAUAAAACUGUCAAGAGUCGGUGGUAUUAUUUUAAUCUCCAACACUGUAUAGCUCCAGCAAUAUUGCUAGUAACGCAAAGCAACAACAACUAGGCCUCAAAUUAAAUCCAAUCAAAUUGAGGUCGGCUAUAUAUUAUGUGAAUCAUCUUUGCUCAUGUUGUUCCUCUUGAGCCUCUCAAGGGGUUCAAUUCUAUUUUGGGCAAUAUGUUAGUGAGGACUUAUAGCCUGUUUGGCCAAGCUUUUUUUUUAGGCCAAAGUGCUUUUUUUGGCCAAAAGCAUUUUUGGUCAAAAAUUGAGGUGUUUGGCCAAGUUUUUGGAAGGAAAAAAAGUACUUUUGAGGAGAAUGCAGAAAAAAGUAGCUUCUCUGCAAAAAUAUUUUUCUGAUUAGCACUUUUGAGAAAAAUACACUUAAAAGUAGUUUUUAAAAGCUUGGUCAAACACUAAUUACUGCUCAAAAGUGUUUUUCUAAUUAACUAGCCAAACACAAACUAUUUCCCACCAAAAGCACUUUUUUUAAAAAUACUUUUGAAAAAAACAUUUCUCAAAUAAGCUGAUUUUACAAACUUGGUCAAAUGGGCUAUUAUACUACCUAGUCAAGUAUAUCCAAUCUUGGCUUGAUUUUUUUGGCCUUUUGAGAUUGUUCUCAGCUGCUCUACUUCCCUAAGUGGCGGCAGCCUUCGUCUGCAGUUCCAAACUGCAAUUUUACAGGGAGAAUCCCGAAAGUACGGUAGGAAAAAAGGCGUAGCCAGAAUUUUAAACUUAUGAGUCCAUAAUUUUAAUUCUAUUAAGUUACUAGGGUCUACAUUAAUAAACUGUACAUAUUCAAUAAAUUUUUUCAGACAAAUAUAAAAUUUGAACUAAAAUUACUAGGUUCAGCCGAAUCCACGGCGGACACUCUGGCUCCGUCCCUGGCCAGGAGAUAAGGUGAUCCUAAAAAUCAAUCAAUAUGGCCAUCUUCUCUCUAUGGUGAGUCUCUAAAUUACGUAGCUUAUUUUUACUUGGAAAUAAAUUGAGUUAUAAUGAUAGGUUUCACGAGUGACUUCAAGAAGAAUAAAUCUAACUCCUUGGACGUGUCGAACAGUUGACAAAGUGUUGCACAAAGCGAGAAAUUGCAAGUACAAGUAAAUGGAUCGAUAAAUAUGCAUAGAUAGAUUUACUGGCUCCAGUGUUCUGUUUUAUUGCUUUUCAAUUUUGCAAUUUCCUCUUCGCUCAUUUGUGGUCUCCUUAUUAGAAGGAUGACUUCUACGUCUCCAUACUACUUCCUCCGGUCCAUAAUAAGUGAUCAAUUUGCUUUUGACACACAUAUUAAGGAAAUUCAAAAUUCUAGACAAAAGUAGUUAGUAUGACUAAACUGUCCUUAAUAAAAUAUUGUAGCAUAAUUAAUAUGAGGAGUAAAAGAUUUUUUAAGGAUACGUACAUAAAGGUGAUUUUGAAAAAACAAAUUGAUUUUUUUGUUUAUAUAAAUGGACACUUAUUUUGGACCAAAAUAAAAAAGCAAAUUGGUCACUUAUAAAUGGACACUUAAUUAAUUACGCAUGUUCGAUUGACAUUAAAGGGUUAAUCAGCAAAAAGCUCGAUUAAUUAGAGACUCCUUGUAGCUUGUGGUUUAUAGUUCCAUUCUUAAUUAAUAGUCCAUGUGCUUUCUUUCACUGAAUAUUCCAACUCUUAUACAUGUAAAGCGUGUAUUAGCUUAGCCACAAAAUAUAUAAGAGGCCAAGAUUAAAGCCUUCAUAUUGCAAAAUGUUACAAUAAAUUUGAUUAAAGUCAAAUGCAGUGUCAUCAACCUGCACCCUUAUCAAUUAAACAUCUCAUUUUCUAUGACCUUACUUUAUUUAUGGUUUUUAACUUUAUUUCGUUCUUCGCUUUAUAUCUAAGGACACCCCAUUAAUACUUAACAGCUACAAAGCACUAAAAUAGCGUUAAAAUUUGCAUGUAUUGACGUUAAGAUGCAAUCUUAGUUGGAAACACUCCAUGUGGCAACACGUUAUAUUAUCCACUCCAUGUGACCUUCACACGCUUUUUGCCGAAAUUUUUUAUUUUGUGCCUCCCACAACUGAUACUAAUUGUGUAAGGCCUCUUCUUUGUCUCACAAUUGUGUGGGUCCCAGAAUUUUGUGAACCCAGAUGUAGGGGUGGGCAUCGGUUGGUUCGGUUCGGUUAUGAAUAUUAUCGGUUUUGCAUAUCGGUUAAUUAUCGGUUUACAAAUAUCAUAACCUGAUAACCAAACCGAUAAAAUAUUGGUUAUCGGUUAUCGAUCAUUAUUGGUUCGGUUAUCAGUUUACCCGAUAAGAUAAAACAACUAAAACAGUUUCACAAUGUAAAAAACUAUUUCGCAAUAUAUAAAACAGUUUCGGUAAAAUCAGUGUUCUUAAGAUCUUCUUUGUUAGAACGACUAGCAGUAACUCUUUGUAUAUUGAUAUCUACUUUUUUACUCUAGUACAGAAUUAUGUAUAUAGAUUAAAAAGUUUAUUAGUUAUGAAAUACAAAUUUUAUAACAAGUGACACAAGAUAACUUUGUAACAGCUCAACAAUUAAAGCACACGACAAAUCUCACUUCAGCUUUCAAAUAAACUAAGAAAAAUUCAGAGCCAGAAUGCUUUCAAACAAACUAAGAAAAAAAAUGAAGAUGAAGCAACUAAAAACUUACACGAAGAAUCAAGAUGAAGCUGAAGAAUGCGACUGGGAAAUGCGAACUGAAGAGUGAAGUGAAGAUGCGACUGAAGAAUCUGAUGGAUCUGAGAAAUGAAGUGAAGAUGCGACUGAAGAGUGAAAGAAAGAAGCUGAGAAAUGCGACUGGCGCCGACCUUAGUCUUGACGGGCUGACUAGUGAGGGCGUGAGGCGGAGAAACUAAGAAAG